UGUAGCUCAGUGGAUCAAUGUUUCUGGCUGUUAACCAGAAAGUUGGUGGUUCAAGCCCACCUGGGACAG
Molecule: non-coding RNA, 69 nt
Organism: Podarcis lilfordi (Lilford's wall lizard)
Lineage: Eukaryota; Metazoa; Chordata; Lepidosauria; Squamata; Lacertidae
Source: the annotation of a GenBank genome assembly